Molecule: long non-coding RNA, 1218 nt
Filed under: Oryctolagus cuniculus (rabbit)
Lineage: Eukaryota; Metazoa; Chordata; Mammalia; Lagomorpha; Leporidae
Description: lncRNA (ENSOCUG00000034756.1)
Source: RNAcentral
AUGCCAGAGCCUUGGAGUCCUAAGGUUUGCACCACCAAGGGACAGGGCGCGCGGAAGCCACUGGAAACCCUCCUACUUCCGCUCCGCCCCAUCCCGUGUGCCUGUUCUCUUCCAAAACGCACACCUUACAUGCCCAGCGCCAAAGAGGCGCUCCAGGAACCACUCAGAGCAGAAUCCAGACAAAGCAGAGUGGAGGCGGUCGCCGGUGAUGAGAACACACAUGUUCCCACCCGGACCACGCCACACCCACCCAGAACCACAACACAGCCCAUUGGAGGGGUCCCCGCUCCCACCCGGACCAGAACACAGCCCAGUAGAGGGGUCCCCCACCCGGACCAGAACAGACAGCCCAGUGGAGGGGUCCCCGCUCCCACCCGGACCAGAAGAGACAGCCCAGUGGAAGGGUCCCCACUCCCACCCGGACCAUGCCACACCCACCCAGAACCAGAACACAGCCCAGUGGAACAGUCCCCACUCCCACCCGGACCAGAACAGACAGCCCAGUGGAAUGGUCCCCACUCCCACCUGGACCAGAACAGACAGACCAGUGGAAUGGUCCCCACUCCCACCUGGACCACGCCACACCCACCCAGAACCCGAACACAGCCCAGUGGAGGGGUCCCCGCUCCCACCCAGACUAUGCCACACCUACCUGGAACCAGUGGAGAGGUACCCACACCCACCUGGACCACGCCACACCCACCCGGAACCAGAACACAGACCAGUGGAGGGGUCCCCGCUCCCACCCGGACCAGACCACGCCACACCCACCCAGAACCAGAUUGUGGCCAGCUCUGCCCAGCACUCAGCCGACACUCGGGCCGGGCCCCACCUCCCUUCAGCCCGGGCUCUGCAGUCUCGGCCAGGGCCCGCCCCUUCCUCAUCUCACUGCCCCUGCAGCACCGGCCUGCGCCCAGCACAAACACCAGGGCUCACCGAGGAUCAGUCACACACAGAACCAGAGGACUGAUGGGCACAGUCGCCGGGAAGGUGCCCGGCCUGGCUAACAGCCCUCUUCCUGGGUCAUCCGGGGAGGAGGGAGUGAUGCAAGGGACCAUCUCGAGGCUGCAGCCAACAGCAGCAAAGGGCGGGGCCGGCCCAACUUCCAGCCAGAGCCAGUAUGCCUGGGGUGGGCCUGAGACCGUGGACCUGCCACGUUCUCAGCCACGGGGAUGGGCCUCAGCACUGGCCACCCCCGGCCCAUCAGAGGGAGACUGA